ACUUCCAUAGUGUAAUGGUAACACAUUAACUCUCACAGUGAAAGAUCCUGGUUCAAAUCCUGGGGGAAGUC
RNAcentral lists this transfer RNA (71 nucleotides) under Dreissena polymorpha. It matches the Rfam family "tRNA". From Rfam's summary of the family: Transfer RNA (tRNA) molecules are approximately 80 nucleotides in length. Lineage: Eukaryota; Metazoa; Mollusca; Bivalvia; Myida; Dreissenidae. The record is from Rfam by way of RNAcentral.